UCCGGUUUGGCACCGGCAGUCUUCCCAGAGUCCCCGCCAUGACGCGCUGGUAACUGAGAACGGGGGUUGCGCUCGUUGCGGGACUUAACCCAACAUCUCACGACACGAGCUGACGACAGCCAUGCAGCACCUGUAACCGAACUCCGAAGAGGGGCCUCCAUUUCGGGAGGCUUUCUCGGCUAUGCCAAGCCUAGGUAAGGUUCUUCGCGUUGCGUCGAAUUAAACCACAUGCUCCACCGCUUGUGCGGGCCCCCGUCAAUUCCUUUGAGUUUCAGCCUUGCGGCCGUACUCCCCAGGCGGGGCACUUAAUGCGUUAGCUUCGGCACGGAGGGAGUCGACACCCCCCACACCUAGUGCCCAUCGUUUACAGCGUGGACUAC
This 380-nucleotide unclassified non-coding RNA is filed under the name uncultured Gemmatimonadaceae bacterium. RNAcentral's name for it is "contains 16S-23S intergenic spacer region". The record is from RNAcentral. Lineage: Bacteria; Pseudomonadati; Gemmatimonadota; Gemmatimonadia; Gemmatimonadales; Gemmatimonadaceae.